UCAUUCUUCCACCAAGCGUUCAUGCUGUGCCAGCAAGGGCCGGUCUCGACCAAUAUCAACCUAAAACCAGAUUGCUCAUUUCAGAGACGGUUUUGUCUGCUUAACAAUAUCAAGCAGAGAAGAAGAGGGUUCAUAUUUCCUCUGAAGAAGCAGGAAGACUCAUGCUGUUUUAGCCAAAAAAGCGGCAAUGGCGGAUAAGAACAAAUUUUCCGUUUUAUUCAAAUGUACAAUAAGUGAACUUCAACAGAGCACAGUGGAGCCACGACCGAAAAUGAGAGAAAGAAAGAUCGAUAAAGCUGUACCAUAAGUAUGAUAUCACUCAGCAAAGCCUGUCCCAGUGUGUGUGAGGCAAGCCUGAAAAACUGUACGAAGUAAAUCUUUAUGUUCAUCGGCUUAUUGUUAAACAACGAGUAAGACUACAAUGGGCAACCACCGGAGGGGAAUUCAAAAAUGCUGUGACACUUUGUUGGCAGUUAACAAGGCGUUAAACUCAAACAGCAGGUGAAGGUUCACAAGCUAGAAUCCUUGUUUGACAUAUGAUGCGUUCAUCAAAAGAAAAACCUCAACGUUAUUUCACAACUGGAAUUGACAGAACAAGAUAUCAUGUCCAUGCAGUGCUAAGAAGAGGACUUCAGUUCACAUUUCAGAGUUAACGUAACGAUACCUGCAUCUCAGAGCAAUUUCGAUUGUGUGUUGGAAGUAAUUAUGAAUUGUUUUGGUUUACCUCACUACGCUCUGUGAUUGGGCUAAAAAAACUCGCGCCCAAUUUCCAACCAAUCGGAUGAAAAACUAAAACCAAUCCCGACUUGGUCAUUAGCGUUUUCCCGCGUUUGAAGCAGUUUCCAUGGUUUUGGUUUGGGUUGCUAUUGGCUAAUUGGGAUAUUAUCCUUUAUUCUGACUGAUCGAUGUGAUUUCUCUGGUCCUGGUCUCACGACAUUCAAUCGAAAAGCUCUUUACUGGCUCAUAGCCUCGCCAAGCUCUAAGAAUGGUUUGAAAAGAUGGGCAACAACUUGUUUACUAAUGAUAACUUGACAACACACUCAACCUCUGCCUGCGACAGUAAUCAAGGGCUCUUUACUGAACAUGACAUGAUCUAAAGAACAGCUGGCUGAGCACACUCAAUAAUCACAUGAGAGAAGCUAAAUCUAAACCACUUUUCCUACUACCAAAUCACAGACUAACACGGUUCUUCACAAAUUACCUGAUCACAUACCAGAAGGAUAACUCAGAUGUUCGCCACUAACAUUGCAGAUGUUGCAAAAUCAACAAUUAAGCAUCACAAAUAACCAUAACUGUCACGUUGUACUAACACUUUGUUUUUUAACAUAGGCACACAUUCCAUGUAAACUUCCAAAUAACUGCAGGCACAUUACACUUAAUUAAAUGCUGAUGUCCAAACUCAUCUAACUCCAUAACACAAAAUUGUUAAGUAUUUCGUACCAAGUGCCUCAUAACACAAUCAGUAACGAUUUUGCUCAAAUUCGACCAUGCAUUUAGAAAUAAUGUUGCUUCAUGUUGUUCAGAUUUGAAUUUAGUUGAGGAAACCAAUACUAACGAGUUUGCCAUAAGGAGUUUUGAUACUUUUAAACUAUUAUCUGGCAAUAUCUGAUUUUCUUCACGAGUCUAAUAAGCAAAUGCUCUGUGACAUGUCAUUCACAUAGAUAAGAAUCCACGUGAUUACCAAGCGUAAUUCAAUAUGCGUCAUUCAUAUAGGCAGACGUGCUUUUAAAAGUAGGAAUGCUCGAAAUUACUCGGGAGCUAACGUUCACUUCUUUGAAAGCUUUGCACCAGAAAGACAAGUUUGUCUUUCGUCAUUCAUUUGAAACCAAAUAUUCCUUAUUACUUUCAUCCACGGUUUCUAAUCUUGAUAUCCCUCAUUUAGCUAAUAUCAUGUCAGGAUCUAAAAUGCUACUAAUGCUUACUGGAAUAUUGCUUAACCAGUCAAUAAGACAAAAACUAAAGAAAGCUUUUAAUACCGCUGAACUUAACACCACAGUAAUACCAAUCAUAUUGACACAGAGUAAUCCAAGUUGUCUACAAAUGAAAGGCAAAGCUUAAUGUCGAUACAUAUGUAAUAUCAGCACCUUACAAUCAGAUGUUUCAAGACUAAUCCUAAUCAUAAUUUUAUUUAGCCUGACUAACUUCAAUAAUUUUGCUUUAAUUCUGAGACGUAACAAUUUUUUAAACGCUAUACUCUUGCUCCGCUCUAUUUCUUCUAGCUGCAAUUGCUAAUUCCAUAUCUAAUAACAAGGUUCGACUCUAACAGUAACUCCGAUAUUAAUGCUUGUGCUACUAAUAAUUGAUUUACUAGCAUGACUCCACCUCUUAAAUUCUGAUACUGGUGCUAACAGCCUUGCUUCUAACGCUUACAUUUCCAUGCUAAUACUAACAGCCAUUUUAACUGCGAUACUAAUUCUUUAUCUGAAAACUAAUUUAAUAAAAAGUUGCCAAGCAUUA
This is a long non-coding RNA of Pocillopora verrucosa, 2457 nucleotides long. RefSeq lists it as uncharacterized. The record is from RefSeq and is a predicted model, not a curated record. Lineage: Eukaryota; Metazoa; Cnidaria; Anthozoa; Scleractinia; Pocilloporidae.